AUUGAACGCUGGCGGCAGGCCUAACACAUGCAAGUCGAGCGGAUGAAGGGAGCUUGCUCCUGGAUUCAGCGGCGGACGGGUGAGUAAUGCCUAGGAAUCUGCCUGGUAGUGGGGGAUAACGUCCGGAAACGGGCGCUAAUACCGCAUACGUCCUGAGGGAGAAAGUGGGGGACCUUCGGACCUCACGCUAUCAGAUGAGCCUAGGUCGGAUUGCCUAGUUGGUGGGGUAAAGGCCUACCAAGGCGACGACCCGUAACUGGUCUGAGAGGAUGAUCAGUCACACUGGAACUGAGACACGGUCCAGACUCCUACGGGAGGCAGCAGUGGGGAAUAUUGGACAAUGGGCGAAAGCCUGAUCCAGCCAUGCCGCGUGUGUGAAGAAGGUCUUCGGAUUGUAAAGCACUUUAAGUUGGGAGGAAGGGCAGUAAGUUAAUACCUUGCUGUUUUGACGUUACCAACAGAAUAAGCACCGGCUAACUUCGUG
RNAcentral lists this ribosomal RNA (484 nucleotides) under uncultured bacterium. RNAcentral describes it as "partial 16S ribosomal RNA". It matches the Rfam family "Bacterial small subunit ribosomal RNA", at positions 30 to 507 of the family's 1533-position model. The record is from RNAcentral.